Erinaceus europaeus (western European hedgehog) is the source of this 277-nucleotide unclassified non-coding RNA. Its record names the gene 7SK. It matches the Rfam family "7SK RNA". From Rfam's summary of the family: 7SK was discovered as an abundant small nuclear RNA in the mid-70s but a possible function has only recently been suggested. Two independent studies have found that 7SK RNA binds the CDK9/cyclin T complex (known as elongation factor P-TEFb). P-TEFb activates transcription by phosphorylating the C-terminal domain of RNA polymerase II. The record is from Ensembl. Lineage: Eukaryota; Metazoa; Chordata; Mammalia; Eulipotyphla; Erinaceidae.
AGAUGUGAGGGCGAUCUGGCUGCGACAUCUGUCACCCUCAUCUGGCUGGCUAGACCGGUGUCCCUUUUCUCCCUCACUGCUCCAUGGGCGUCCCUCCAGGAGCUGCCCUCUCGGUCAAACAGGACAGCCUUCCCCAGUAGAGAUGGACUGGUCUUCGGCUGAGAGUGUACAAGUAGCUGUUCUCCCCUGCUAGAACCUCUGGACAAGCUCUCGAGGUCAAGAAGCUACGUUGGUUGCAGACAAUCUAUGUCGGGCCUGCACAUAGCAUUCCUCGGAU